RNAcentral lists this ribosomal RNA (938 nucleotides) under uncultured bacterium. RNAcentral's name for it is "bacterial SSU rRNA". It matches the Rfam family "Bacterial small subunit ribosomal RNA", at positions 1 to 924 of the family's 1533-position model. The record is from RNAcentral.
GCCCUUAGAGUUUGAUCCUGGCUCAGAUUGAACGCUGGCGGCAUGCCUUACACAUGCAAGUCGAACGGCAGCUUUUUUAUACUGCGAAGUCUAAUGGGUGGCAAGUGGCGAAUGGGUGAUUAACGCGUAGGAAUAUCCCUUAAAGUGGGGGACAACUUGGGGAAACUCAAGCUAAUACCGCAUAAUCUCUUUGGAGAAAAGCUGGGGACCGUAAGGCCUGGCGCUUUAAGAAUGGCUGCGUCCGAUUCGCUAGUUGGUGGGGUAAAGGCCUACCAAGGCGACGAUCGGUAGCUGGUCUGAGAGGAUGGCCAGCCACACUGGGACUGAGACACGGCCCAGACUCCUACGGGAGGCAGCAGUGGGGAAUAUUGGACAAUGGGGGGAACCCUGAUCCAGCAAUGCCGCGUGUGUGAAGAAGGCCUGAGGGUUGUAAAGCACUUUCAGUGGGGAGGAGAAUUAAUAGGUUAAGAGGUAAUUAAUUGGACGUUCCCCACAGAAGAAGCUCCGGCUAAUUCCGUGCCAGCAGCCGCGGUAAUACGGAGGGUGCAAGCGUUUAUCGGAAUUACUGGGCGUAAAGGCGUGCGUAGGUGGUCUGAUAAGUUAUCUGUGAAAUCCCCGGGCUCAACCUGGGAAGGCCAGAUAAUACUGUUAGACUAGAGUAUGGGAGAGGGUAGUGGAAUUUCCGGUGUAGCGGUGAAAUGCGUAGAGAUCGGAAGGAACACCAAUGGCGAAGGCGGCUUCCUGGCCUAAUACUGACACUGAAGCACGAAAGCGUGGGGAGCAAACAGGAUUAGAUACCCCGGUAGUCCACGCCGUAAACGAUGUCAACUAGAUGUUGGUCAUAUGAACAUGAUCAGUAGCGAAGCUAACGCGAUAAGUUGACCGCCUGGGGAGUACGGUCGCAAGAUUAAAACUCAAAUGAAUUGACGGGGAAGGGC